This 71-nucleotide transfer RNA is filed under the name Candidatus Doudnabacteria bacterium RIFCSPHIGHO2_01_FULL_50_11. RNAcentral's name for it is "tRNA-Gly". It matches the Rfam family "tRNA". Rfam says of the family: Transfer RNA (tRNA) molecules are approximately 80 nucleotides in length. Their secondary structure includes four short double-helical elements and three loops (D, anti-codon, and T loops). The record is from RNAcentral. Lineage: Bacteria; Candidatus Doudnaibacteriota.
GCGGGAUUAGUAUAGUGGUAGUACGUGACCUUCCCAAGGUUAAGGUGCCGGUUCGAUUCCGGUAUCCCGCU